RNAcentral lists this ribosomal RNA (245 nucleotides) under uncultured bacterium. RNAcentral describes it as "partial 16S ribosomal RNA". It matches the Rfam family "Bacterial small subunit ribosomal RNA", at positions 528 to 772 of the family's 1533-position model. The record is from RNAcentral.
UAUGGUGCAAGCGUUAUCCGGAUUUACUGGGUGUAAAGGGAGCGCAGGCGGUCCUGCAAGUCUGGUGUGAAAGCCCGGGGCACAACCCCGGGACUGCACUGGAAACUGCGGGACUGGAGUGUCGGAGGGGUAAGCGGAAUUCCUGGUGUAGCGGUGAAAUGCGUAGAUAUCAGGAGGAACACCGGUGGCGAAGGCGGCUUACUGGACGAUGACUGACGCUGAGGCUCGAAAGCGUGGGGAGCAAA